GAUGAAGAACGUAGCGAAAUGCGAUAAGUAAUGUGAAUUGCAGAAUUCAGUGAAUCAUCGAAUCUUUGAACGCAUCUUGCGCUCCUUGGUAUUCUGAGGAGCAUGCCUGUUUGAGUGUCAUUAAAUUCUCAACCGCACUGACUUUGAAUUGGUGUGGCUUGGAUUUGGGGGGAAAAUUGUUGUGGGCUUUUUUUGUAUAGUCUGCUCCCCUGAAAUUGAUUAGCGGUACCUUUGUGGAACUGUCUACAGGUGUGAUAAUUAUCUACAUCCUAGACAUCUGCUGGAAUGCUGCUUUCUAAACCUUACUUGUAUUGACAAUCUUGACCUCAAAUCAGGUAGGACUACCCGCUGAACUUAAGCAUAUCAAUAAGCGGAGGA
This 378-nucleotide unclassified non-coding RNA is filed under the name soil metagenome. RNAcentral's name for it is "partial contains 5.8S ribosomal RNA, internal transcribed spacer 2, and large subunit ribosomal RNA". The stretch from base 1 to 120 matches the Rfam family "5.8S ribosomal RNA", at positions 35 to 154 of the family's 154-position model. The record is from RNAcentral.